Musa acuminata AAA Group (dessert banana) is the source of this 1107-nucleotide long non-coding RNA. RefSeq lists it as uncharacterized. The record is from RefSeq and is a predicted model, not a curated record. The transcript has 2 exons. Lineage: Eukaryota; Viridiplantae; Streptophyta; Magnoliopsida; Zingiberales; Musaceae.
GGCGCACCUUUUGUCAAGCAUGUUGGGACAUCAGGAUUCAUGAAUUUCCUGCAAGGAGGUAUGGGCAACUGCUGUUCUUAAGGAUUUCAGAACCAAAAAGGGAAUACUGCAGUUUGUGGAUAGACGGGGAGACCUGAGUGCAUUCCUGCUUGAAGCACCAACUACGACAUUCUGGAUGUUGUUUGAGGUGAUGUAGUCGAUGAUGGCUUUCGAGACAUCAAAAUCUUCCAAAAUCACCUCCGUCAGCUGCAACUGUUUGUUUCCGGAAGAAGUUCAACAAAAAGUUCCGUUAUUAAUGGUAGCAAUCGAGAAUGACGAUGCUGAACAUGAAGGAUGCCUACUAUUAAGGAGAUCUGGCUGGGUCCUGACAUGGACGAGGAUUAUGGAGUUGGUGUUGAUGAGGAGGUGGUCGACUGCCCAUUUCAUCGCCUGCUGGCUGUUCUUAUCCUUGUCGACCGCCACCACCGGCGGCACCUGCCCGGGCUUACGGCUGAUGUCAUCUGACUGUGACAGUGACAGAGAUCGCGGCGGCAUGCGAUUCAUUCUUGCAAGCACCAGUUUCAGCAAAUGGAGAGAGAGUGAAGAAGGAGAGGAGAGCAGUUGAGAGGGAGAGGGAGGGAGGAGGGAGGAGUUGCUCUCUCUUACUCCUCCUCCACUCUUCUCUUCCCUGCGUCCUUCUCUGUCUGCUUCUUCCCUUUCCCGUUGAGUUAUUCCUCCUUUGUUACAGCUUGGCAGUCCUUUUUUUGUUGUUCCCGGGAAUAGAGGGUGGCAGUUGAGAAUAACCACCUUGAUCUCUUGAGAACAGUUGACCAGGGAUGUUUCCCAGACUUCUGGUCCUUCUCCUCCUCCUUUUCUGUCUCAGUUCUUGCCCUUUUGCCGAUGAUGCCAAUUCUUCUCAUGGUUCUUGUUGAGCCACUUGUGAUGAUAAGCUGAGGUCCAGGAAUUCGAUGGCAUCUUACAAUUCUUCAGCCAUGUUCUGGAUCUCUCAAUUCAUGGUCUGGCAUUGCCUUUUGCUCCAAGACAAAUAUGGAGUUUUGGAGUAUAUACACCUUAUAUCAUCUCUGUUGAUUUGCCAACAAUCUAUUUUAUUUUAUUUUAUUUUACUCA